UUUGUAUUUCGGCAGUGGAGUGACAACUCACUGGAUCUGCAGAGCCUUUCGAACUUGUAUUCAUUUUUCUUUAUUUAAAAUGUCACUUGCUAACACAACUAUUAUUUUUUAAUAAACAAUAAACCCAUUAGCAGCGUUUCACUAAACAGUUAACUGUGAAGAAAUGACUUGAAAGAAUUGAAACUUCUAUUCCAAAAUAUCAUACCUCAGCUCUUUUUACUCCAGUAAUAAUAUUUUGGCUCAAAAUGUGUUAUUUCCCUGUUCAACUGUCCAGG
This is a non-coding RNA of Pelobates cultripes (western spadefoot toad), 275 nucleotides long. Lineage: Eukaryota; Metazoa; Chordata; Amphibia; Anura; Pelobatidae. The record is from the annotation of a GenBank genome assembly.